Molecule: ribosomal RNA, 501 nt
Filed under: uncultured bacterium
Lineage: Bacteria
Description: partial 16S ribosomal RNA
Rfam family: Bacterial small subunit ribosomal RNA
Source: RNAcentral
AUUGAACGCUGGCGGCAGGCUUAACACAUGCAAGUCGAGCGGAGAUGAGGUGCUUGCACCUUAUCUUAGCGGCGGACGGGUGAGUAAUGCUUAGGAAUCUGCCUAUUAGUGGGGGACAACAUUCCGAAAGGAAUGCUAAUACCGCAUACGUCCUACGGGAGAAAGCAGGGGAUCUUCGGACCUUGCGCUAAUAGAUGAGCCUAAGUCGGAAUAGCUAGUUGGUGGGGUAAAGGCCUACCAAGGCGACGAUCUGUAGCGGGUCUGAGAGGAUGAUCCGCCACACUGGGACUGAGACACGGCCCAGACUCCUACGGGAGGCAGCAGUGGGGAAUAUUGGACAAUGGGGGAAACCCUGAUCCAGUCAUGCCGCGUGUGUGAAGAAGGCCUUAUGGUUGUAAAGCACUUUAAGCGAGGAGGAGGCUACUGAGACUAAUACUCUUGGAUAGUGGACGUUACUCGCAGAAUAAGCACCGGCUAACUCUGUGCCAGCCGCCGCCGUAA